CGGAACACGUACGCAACCUUCCCUAACUGGUGAAUAGCCUUUCGAAAGAGAGAUUAAUACACCGUAACAUAACGAAGAGGCAUCUCUUUGUUAUUAUAGACUUCGGUCGGUUUUGGAUGGGCGUGCGCCUGAUUAGGUAGUUGGCGGGGUAACGGCCCACCAAGCCUGCGAUCAGUAACUGGUGUGAGAGCACGACCAGCCACACGGGCACUGAGACACGGGCCCGACUCCUACGGGAGGCAGCAGUAAGGAAUAUUGGUCAAUGGACGAAAGUCUGAACCAGCCAUGCCGCGUGAAGGAUGACGGCCCUCUGGGUUGUAAACUUCUUUUAUCUGGGACGAAAAAAGGGCUUUCUAGCUCACUUGACGGUACCAGAGGAAUAAGCACCGGCUAACUCCGUGCCAGCAGCCGCGGUAAUACGGAGGGUGCAAGCGUUAUCCGGAUUUACUGGGUUUAAAGGGUGCGUAGGUGGGUAGGUAAGUCAGUGGUGAAAUCUCCGAGCUUAACUCGGAAACUGCCAUUGAUACUAUCUAUCUUGAAUAUCCUGGAGGUGAGCGGAAUAUGUCAUGUAGCGGUGAAAUGCUUAGAUAUGACAU
This 596-nucleotide ribosomal RNA is filed under the name uncultured bacterium. RNAcentral describes it as "bacterial SSU rRNA". It matches the Rfam family "Bacterial small subunit ribosomal RNA", at positions 109 to 702 of the family's 1533-position model. The record is from RNAcentral.